This 428-nucleotide ribosomal RNA is filed under the name uncultured bacterium. RNAcentral's name for it is "bacterial SSU rRNA". It matches the Rfam family "Bacterial small subunit ribosomal RNA", at positions 355 to 775 of the family's 1533-position model. The record is from RNAcentral.
UGGGGAAUAUUGGACAAUGGGCGAAAGCCUGAUCCAGCGACGCCGCGUGUCGGAAGGAGUCCUUCGGGAUGUAAACGACUUUUGGUGGAGACGAAUAAGCAGCUCGGGGAAUGGGGCUGUGAUGACGGUAUCCAUGGAAUAAGCCCCGGCUAACUACGUGCCAGCAGCCGCGGUAAGACGUAGGGGGCAAGCGUUGCCCGGAAUUACUGGGCGUAAAGGGAGCGUAGGCGGGAGGUCAAGUCCGGUGUGAAAGACCCUGGCUCAACCAGGGAUGAGGGCUGGAAACUGACAAUCUUGAGUACAGCAGAGGAAGAGGGAAUUACCGGUGUAGGGGUGAAAUCCGUAGAGACCGGUAAGAAGGCCAGUGGCGAAGGCGCUUUUCUGGGCUGUUACUGUCGCUGAGGCUCGAAAGCCAGGGGAGCAAACCG